UUGGAAUUCUAUCCCUAGCAAAAAGAACUACCAAGAUUGACAAGGAAACAAAGGCAUUUUCAGGAAGGCUGUGGAGUGAGAUAAAGCAGGAUUGCACCAUGGAGGACAAACAUCUCGGCAUCCAGUACACUUCAAAAUGUUUCUUUUUUUUUGUUUUCAAGACUGGCUGCUAUUUCCUCCAUGCCUCUUGUUUAUUAGCGUGUUGACUCAUCUAGAGCCCAGCGCCUUGUUCCACACCAGAGAGAUGGACUUGUGCCUCUGCCAAGUGGAGUCGGCUCGAGAGAUAACAGCCAGCCACAACAAUGGUCUUCCUCAGUCCCUCGGCCAAAAAGACCUUUGGCACAGUGAGCUGAGAAUGACUCAUCCCCAGUGCCCUGGAAGGCUCCGAAGUUCUGGGAGCACGGAGUGGUUGUUUGCCAGACAGAGAUAACAGGCAGGAUGCCGCAGAGAGCCAGACGUGCUCCGAACUCAGGGCCCCACCUGGCAGACGCAGAAAAGGAAAAAGGGAUGAAGCAGCCAGUUAGCACAUGGUUUCCCGGUUGCCCAGUCCAUGCCGUCAACACCAUCCAACAUUCUGAGGUUUGCCAAAAGGAUCUCGUUUACUCCUGGGUCACGUAAAGAGUACUUAACUUUUCCCCCCACUCCUUGCCGUCGUCUUAAGAGUACUUAACUUUUUUAAAAAGACUAAUGCAAUCAACUCAUCUUGAAGAGUUUGCUCACUUUCCAUUGCCCUUGGAAAAAAAAAAUGCAUGAUUAUCUGACAGGAUGAGGGUUUGAUUGUCACAUAAGUCAUUCUCUCGAUGGUUGACACAUCCUUGACUCUCAAAGGAUGGCGUUGAUAACCUAGAGAGGCAACUGAGAAUAGCCUAGGACUGGACCUGCUUGUUCUGAGCUGCCUAAAGAGCCUCUGAAACUAGUGUUAACUGUUCCACUCACUAACCUUGCCUUUAUGAGGUAGGAGGUGGGACUCAACUCUGGAGACGGGGCUCAGACACUGGACCAAAUUAAGGACUAGCUACAACAGGACCAGGGUGGAAGCAGCUUUCCAUAAGGCGUGCCCACCAGUGUGCCAUGUCAGUUUACCAUUGCCAUGUCAACACCCGGGCGUUAUCGCUCCUUUCCAUGGCAAUGAUCCGAUGACCCAAAAGUUACUAACCCUUUCCUAGAAAUUUCUGCAUAAACCAUCCCUUAGUCUGUAUAUAAUUAAAAGUGGGUAUAAAUACGACUGCAAAGCUGCCCUGAGCUGCUCCUCUCUGCUUAUGGGGUUGCCCAGAUCUGCAGGAGCAGUCAUGGAGGUAUAACACUGCUGCUUCAGUUAAGCUGUUUUUGUCUACCUCCAGCAUGCCCUUGAAUUCUUUCCUGGGCAAAGCCAAGAACCCUCGUGGGCUAAGUCCCACUUUGGGGCUCACCUGCCCUGCACCAUUUAGAUGUAGAGAUGGCUACACUGCUUUGCAGGCUUCUUUAGCCCAAGUCAUUAGAUGCACAGGUAGCCAUCACCUUUGAAAGAUUCUGUUGUAAACUUGUGAUAAAAAUGCCUUUCAUGGUCUCAUAGACAUUUUUUAUAAUAACUAAAAUAGUGAUUGUUUUCAUUACAAGCUCAGUAUUGUACUAUAAAUCACUUAACUGCUGAAGUACAAUGUAAGUCCUGAAUGGCAAUGUCAGUGUUAUUAACCAUUAUUAACUCAAGGACAGUGGGGAGUAAGGAAGAUGAGUUCUGUUUCAUCAUUUUCCAAAGUCACAGAGCUUGUUCUUCAACAGUGACUCAAAGCAAAUGCCAUAGCCUGCUUUGUUAUAAGAAUUUUGAUACAUAGUUAAUAUUUACAUAAUGACUUACAAUUCAACAUGAAAGCUCCCAUGUCAGUACUAAGUAACUUAAUUACACCAUUUAUAAAUACAGUACUGUCGGCCCUCCCUACCCUUAGGCUUCCCACCUGCAGAUUCAACCAACUGUGGAUCAAAAAUAUUCAGAAAAGGCCAGGCGCAGUGGCUCAUGCCUGUAAUCCCAGCACUUUGGGAGGCCGAGGUGAGCGAAUCACGAGGUCAGGAGUUCAAGACCAACCUGGCCUACACGGUGAAACCUUGUCUCUACUAAAAAUACAAAAAUUAGCCUGGCAUGGUGAUGCGUGCCUGUAAUCCCAGCUACUUGGGAGGCUGAGGCAGGAGAAUUUCUUGAACCUGGGAGGUGGAGGUUGCAGUAAGCUGAGAUUGCGCCAUUGCAUUCCAGCCUGGGCGACAGAGCAAGACUCUGUCUGGAGAAGAAAAAAAAUUUCAGAAAAAAACAAUUAAAAAUAACAAUACAACAACAAAUAAUAACACAUAUAAGAAUCAAUGCAGCAUAACAACUAUUUGCGUAGCAUUUAGAUUGUAUUAAGUAUUAAAAGUAAUCUAGAGAUUUUUAAUGGAUAUCAGGAGGAUGUGCAUAGAUUUUAUGCAAAUAUGGUGCCAUUUUCUCUAAGGGAUUUGAACAUCCACAGAUUUUGGUAUCCACUGGAGGUCCUGGAACCAAUCCCCCACCGACACCAAGGGACGGCUAUAUAUUUUUUCCCUUGACCUAACACCUACUCACUUUUGGACAGCAUUAUAAAAUAAUCAGCAUCAUCUCCAGAAGUAUUUAUCAGGCAUCUAUCAUGGUAUUGUAUUAAUUAGGUCAUCUACUGAAAGGCAGAAUGUUCUUCACUUCAGAUUUUACAACACCCUUUUUUCAUAAUACGUGGAUAGGUUUGUUUUUAAAUGUUGGUGACUUAAACCUCCUGAAGAGAGGGACCUCAUCAGAGUGGAAGUCUUACUUCGAUCAAAGCCCGAUCAUACAACCUAUUUUCAGCAUGUUUCUAGCAAGUUAAGGCGAAGCUUAGCUAGAUUGCUUAGGCUUGGGUAAGGACCGCACACUUUGCUUGUAGCGUUCUUAGUCUCUUGGUCUAAGCAAGGCUGUGAUUCACCAUCUGAACUCAAUAGCGCCGUUUCUUGCACUGGGUGGUUUGCUAAAUUCACAUAGAUAACCCAAAGAAAGUUCAAGAUCAGAAAGAGAGAAGAUUGACUUACUUGUUAUGAGGGAAUUUUCAUUCACAGAGCCAUAAAAAUAUAAUCAUGAAUUUUGUGGAUACUGCGUCCUUUGGGCCAGCCAUCUAGGGUACAGAUGGGACGUGAUGCCAUUGUCUAGAAGCCCUAGGGUUGCAGGUGGCUGCUGGCAAAGCGACCCACCAUCCAUCCCUUGCUGCAUCGGGAUCAGGGGCCGUUCCAUGAGCUGCUGCCCUGAGAGGCCUCGGUGUUUCUGUUCUUUGCCACCCGCUUCUGUAUGUGAAUCACUCUGAGUAUUUACAUCCUUUGACAUUAUUCCUGUUUCCCCGUAUUUUCAUGUCCAUUAAGCUGAUACUGUAUAGGCUUGAUGACGGUGUCUUUUUCUCAGUGAUUUUCUCCACACAGUAAAAUGGUGCCCAAUGGGAGAAUAAAGUCUCCUUGCUCCAUAGAAGGCCUGCACUUUACAUGUAUAUAUGAGAAAAAGCUGGUUUCUGUUAGUCUAUAAUGUAUUAAGAUGUGGUUAGUGAAAAACUGCCUUCCAAAAUUCAGUUAAUAUAGAAAAUUAAGUAUUUUUAAAAAUUUUUCAGACUGCUUAUUGUAGAAUGAAAUUGGCCCUUGUCUUAUCUCAGCCACUUUACCCCCAAUCUGGACAUUUUAUUAUAAAUACAGUUCUGCUUUCAGACCAUCAUAUUUUUGGAAAAGAAAAUUGUGUAAGGUAAAAGUGAUUACAUUCAACACAUUUA
RNAcentral lists this long non-coding RNA (3758 nucleotides) under Homo sapiens (human). RNAcentral's name for it is "HSALNT0100934". Lineage: Eukaryota; Metazoa; Chordata; Mammalia; Primates; Hominidae. The record is from RNAcentral.